This 279-nucleotide ribosomal RNA is filed under the name uncultured bacterium. RNAcentral describes it as "partial 16S ribosomal RNA". It matches the Rfam family "Bacterial small subunit ribosomal RNA", at positions 29 to 334 of the family's 1533-position model. The record is from RNAcentral.
AACGUACGCUGGCGGCACGCCUAACACAUGCAAGUCGAACGAAGUAGCAAUACUUAGUGGCAGACGGGUGAGUAACAUGUGGGUAUCUACCCUUUGGCCUGGAAUAACACGAGGAAACUUGUGCUAAUACCGGAUAAGUCUUUACGGAGAAAGCUUUAUGCACCAUUGGAUGAGCCCGUACGGUAUCAGUUAGUUGGUGAGGUAAUGGCUCACCAAGACAAUGACGCCUAACUGGUUUGAGAGGAUGAUCAGUCACACUGGAACUGAGACACGGUCCAG